CUGUCUUCGUCAAACUCUCCAAACCUUAACCCCUCUCGUUUCGCCCAACCGGCCAGCCGCGAACCCUGGUCCGUUCCGUGCCUUGAUCGGUGUCCCGCGUGCUUCGCCGUGGACGCGGGGCAGGUGGCCUCUGGCCGUUACGGCUCCCGCCGCAGGCCCGGCCCUGGGACAGGGCGAGCGGGGCGGCCGCCCAGGACCCCGCGGCUGGAAAGGUUACUCCUAAACAAUAUACGCAGAUCAUUAAACACAUAUAUGUAGCUGUUCGGAUAUUGCUGCUAUUUAGUACUACAACUAACAACACGAAUUAUUCUCGUAACUGGUUAUCUGCUCCGUCCUUCACUGGUGACAUGGGCUAUGAGCCCAAGACUAUCAAUCGACUAUUCUGGUUCGUUGACACUCAUAGCCCGCACGCGGACAUAGGGCAAUGCUAAGAAUUGAAGCUAAUGUGAUAAUAGAAUUUUUUCAAAAGCAAAGUGUAAAUAAAGAUAUUAAUUCAUUCGGGAUAGCAUAACAAUUGCGUGAAAGAUAUUAGAGAAAUGAGCCAAAUAAAAAUAGGAAAAUGUCCAUUUACUUUGUCCACUGAACCCCUAAGCAAAAUUUAGGCUCACUUUACUCCCCCGAGCUAUUUCAUUGGUCCAAUCUACCCCUAAUUAGAUUUUCUCUUUUUUAUUUCUUCACGUACAAGUUGAGUUUUAAUUUCAGAUUUUUACCAAUUGACUUAUAACAUGAUGCUCUACAUUAUAAAAAUACAUUAGCAAUUUUUUAGAUUACUUUUUGUACAGUUUUAUAUAUCUAAGAUCAAUUUUGUAUUAAAUAUUCUUAACCUAUGAAAAUAACUAUGAAAAUUCUUAGUAUAAUUUUUAACAUAAGGCAUCAUAUUUUCUAUCUCCU
This 891-nucleotide long non-coding RNA is filed under the name Setaria viridis. RNAcentral's name for it is "long non-coding RNA (SVIR_LNC008380)". Lineage: Eukaryota; Viridiplantae; Streptophyta; Magnoliopsida; Poales; Poaceae. The record is from RNAcentral.